Molecule: long non-coding RNA, 244 nt
Filed under: Elaeis guineensis (African oil palm)
Lineage: Eukaryota; Viridiplantae; Streptophyta; Magnoliopsida; Arecales; Arecaceae
Description: long non-coding RNA (EGUI_LNC061028)
Source: RNAcentral
GAGUUUAUCCAUUUGUUUCUCCAUGAAGAAAUAAUUUUUGCAUGGACUUCAAAUCUUUAAUUGGAACUAAGAAGUUUUUCUAUUGCUGAAACACUUCUUGUGUCAUCGAAAUAAAUAGAUAAGCAUAAAUCCUUGCCACCCCUCCUUAUCCUUGGUGCCACUUGGACUUAGAGUCCAAGUGGUUAUGGUCUCUUAUUUUCUCCACACCUAAUCUGGUUGGGUGCCUCCCUUGUUGACCAUUGGA